This 345-nucleotide unclassified non-coding RNA is filed under the name soil metagenome. RNAcentral describes it as "partial contains 5.8S ribosomal RNA, internal transcribed spacer 2, and large subunit ribosomal RNA". The stretch from base 1 to 120 matches the Rfam family "5.8S ribosomal RNA", at positions 35 to 154 of the family's 154-position model. The record is from RNAcentral.
GAUGAAGAACGUAGUGAAAUGCGAUACGUAAUGUGAAUUGCAGAAUUCAGUGAAUCAUCGAGUCUUUGAACGCACAUUGCGACCCCUGGUAUUCCGGGGGGCAUGCCUGUCCGAGCGUCAUUGCUGCCCUCAAGCACGGCUUGUGUGUUGGGCCUCCGUCCUCCUCCCGGGGGACGGGCCCGAAAGGCAGCGGCGGCACCGCGUCCGGUCCUCGAGCGUAUGGGGCUUCGUCACCCGCUCUUGUAGGCCCGGCCGGCGCUUGCCGACACAUCAAUCUUUUUUCCAGGUUGACCUCGGAUCAGGUAGGGAUACCCGCUGAACUUAAGCAUAUCAAUAAGCGGAGGA